AUGACGCCACGUACGGCCGCCUCGGUGUGUUGGUGCGCUUUGUUUUUUCUUGCUUUGUGUGUUAAUUCAGUUUUCGGCUGUGAUACCCGGGGCUCUUUCACUAGAGAAGAGCUCAUGAACAUCAGGGGAACAACUCCAGCUGAUCUCUUUCCCACUUUUCUUAUUUCUUCCGUGGAAUUAUUGGACAUUGUGGUCAAAGGUGCGCUCACCUUUGCUCACGCAGUGAAACGCAGGAGGAGAGGGAGACGUGCUGGUGCGCUUGUGCGUCUCCGCCAGCGCGGACAUCGCACACCGUUACCUGGGAUAUUCCUCUCCAAUGUGCGCUCACUGUGCAACAAAAUGGACGAACUUCAGCUACUUCUGGGGAAAAACAGUGACUUUUCUUCAUCCUCUGUUUUAUGCUUCACGGAGACGUGGCUGAGUGGAUCGGUACCGGACUCUGCGCUGCAGCUGGCAGGCUUCCAACUCCUCAGAGCGGAUCGUGACACGGAACUCUCCGGCAAAACAAAGGGUGGAGGUAUCUGUUUUUAUACCAACAGUAGCUGGUGUAAUGAUGUGACAGUGAUCCAACAGCACUGCUCUUCUACUCUGGAAUCUUUCUUUAUAAACUGCAAACCUUUUUACUCCCCCCGUGAGCUCGUUUCAUUCAUUCUGGUCGGUGUUUACAUUCCACCACAGGCCAACGUGCAGGACGCACAGCGAAUGCUUGCCGACCAGAUACUGUGUGUGGAGCGGACUAACCCGGACUCUUUAGUUAUUGUCCUCGGUGACUUUAACAAAGGAAACCUCAGUCACGAUCUUCCAAAAUAUAAACAGUUUAUUAAAUGCCCGACCAGAGAGAAGAAUAUACUGGAUCAUUGUUACACUACAGUCAGCGGAGCUUAUCAAGCCGUCCCCCGCGCCGCACUGGGCCUCUCCGACCACGUCAUGGUCCACCUGAUUCCCUCAUACAGGCAGAAAUUAAAGCUCUGCAAACCUGUUGUGAGGACAUCAAAGCAGUGGACCAGUGAAGCUGUGGAGGAUCUCCAGGCGUGUUUGGACUCUACUGACUGGGAUGUGUUCAGGACUGCUACUAACAGUCUGGAUGAGUACACAGAGGCUGUGACAUCAUAUACCAGCUUCUGUGAGGACUGCUGUGUACCAUCACGCACCAGGGUGAGUUACAACAACGACAAACCCUGGUUCACAGCCAAACUCAUUCAACUACGGUUGCAGAAGGAGCAAGCGUUCAGGAGUGGGGACAGGGACAAGUUUAAGGAGUCCAAGUACAAGUUUAGGAAGGCGGUGAGAGAAGCUAAACAUCAGUACUCUGGCUGA
Molecule: long non-coding RNA, 1317 nt
Filed under: Dicentrarchus labrax (European seabass)
Lineage: Eukaryota; Metazoa; Chordata; Actinopteri; Moronidae
Description: lncRNA (ENSDLAG00005026483.1)
Source: RNAcentral